CCCUUAGAUGUUCUGGGCCGCACACGCGCUACACUGGCAGGUUCAUCGAGCUUCAUGCCCUGAUCUGAGAAGAACGGGAAAUCUUUGAACACCUGCCGUGCUUGGGAUAGAUGUUUGCAAUUAUUCAUCUUCAACGAGGAUUGCCUUGUAAGCGCACGUCAUUAGCGUGCAUUGAAUACGACCCUGUAUUCUGUACACACCGCCCGUCGCUCCUACCGAUUGAAGUUUUCGGUGAAUUUACUGGAGAUCCCUUUUGAAGGUGGUUCGCCACUGGAAGAAGUAUUCAAAAGUAAAUGAAUCGAAUGCUUUAGAGGAAGGAGAAGUCGUAACA
This 331-nucleotide ribosomal RNA is filed under the name uncultured eukaryote. Its description in RNAcentral is "partial 18S ribosomal RNA". It matches the Rfam family "Eukaryotic small subunit ribosomal RNA", at positions 1470 to 1796 of the family's 1831-position model. The record is from RNAcentral.